UACGGAGGAUCCGAGCGUUAUCCGGAUUUAUUGGGUUUAAAGGGUGCGCAGGCGGGGGAUUAAGUCGGCGGUGAAAUUUUGCAGCUCAACUGUAAAAGUGCCUUCGAAACUGGUUUCCUUGAGUGUGGAUGAGGUAGGCGGAAUUUGUGGUGUAGCGGUGAAAUGCAUAGAUAUCACGAGGAACUCCGAUUGCGCAGGCAGCUUACUAAACUACUACUGACGCUCAGGCACGAAGGCGUGGGGAUCAAACAGGAUUAGAUACCCGGGUAGUCCCU
RNAcentral lists this ribosomal RNA (275 nucleotides) under uncultured prokaryote. RNAcentral's name for it is "partial 16S ribosomal RNA". It matches the Rfam family "Bacterial small subunit ribosomal RNA", at positions 524 to 798 of the family's 1533-position model. The record is from RNAcentral.